AUUGAACGCUGGCGGCAGGCCUAACACAUGCAAGUCGAACGAGUGGCGGACGGGUGAGUAAUGUCUGGGAAACUGACUGAUGGAGGGGGAUAACUACUGGAAACGGUAGCUAAUACCGCAUAACAUCAGAUGGGCCCAGAUGGGAUUAGCUUGUUGUUGGGGUAACGGCGCACCAAGGAGACGAUCCCUAGCUGGUCUGAGAGGAUGACCAGCCACACUGGAAUGGAGACACGGUCCAGACUCCUACGGGAGGCAGCAGUGGGGAAUAUUGCACAAUGGGCGCAAGCCUGAUGCAGCCAUGCCGCGUGUAUGAAGAAGGCCUGCGGGUUGUAAAGUACUUUCAGCGGGGAGGCGUUACCCGCAGAAGAAGCACCGGCUAACUCCGUGCCAGCAGCCGCGGUAAUUC
RNAcentral lists this ribosomal RNA (406 nucleotides) under uncultured bacterium. RNAcentral's name for it is "partial 16S ribosomal RNA". It matches the Rfam family "Bacterial small subunit ribosomal RNA", at positions 30 to 526 of the family's 1533-position model. The record is from RNAcentral.